UGCGGCUGGAGCUUUGCAGGGAGAAAUGUUUGAUUUAUGACAUGAGUCAAUUACGCUCCUCUGCCAAAAUGGAUAAAAGGUUCCAAAAGCAUGAAGAUUUGCGUUUCACAAUCUAUGCAGGAAGGCUGAGUUGAUAUAUUGGUUGCAAAUGAAGAAAAGCACGUGUGGAUCUUCCUCGGACAAAAAGAAAAAGAGGAAACCGCCUGAUGAAAACAGAGCCAAAACACCAGCCUUGCCAGAAACCAGGUGAAAAUGCAUAAAUAACCCAGCCUGUCUAUAGGUUUUGCCUUCUGAAACCACGGAAAGGAGCAGGAUCCGGCCUCACUGCUCAAGGCUGAGUCCUCCUGGCGUACUGCAGACACUGUGCUUUCAGGCUGCCUGCUCUGAAAUGGAGACGUUUUUCCUCUUUAAGAACCAAGA
RNAcentral lists this long non-coding RNA (420 nucleotides) under Cairina moschata (Muscovy duck). RNAcentral describes it as "domestica (muscovy Duck (domestic type)) lncRNA (ENSCMMG00000012333.1)". Lineage: Eukaryota; Metazoa; Chordata; Aves; Anseriformes; Anatidae. The record is from RNAcentral.